UAAAGCGGUACGCGAGCUGGGUUUAGAACGUCGUGAGUACAGUUCGGUCCCGUAUCCGCUGUGCGCGUAGGAGUCUUGAGAAGGGCUGUCCCUAGUACGAGAGACCGGGACGGACGAACCUCUGGUGUGCCAGUUGUUCUGCCAAGGGCGAUGGCUGGUUGGCUACGUUCGGGAGGGAUAACCGCUGAAAGCAUCUAAGCGGGAAGCCUGCUUCGAGAUGAGGACUCCCACCUCCUAGAGAGGGUAAGGCUCCCAGUAGACGACUGGGUUGAUAGGCCGGAUAUGGAAGCACGGUAACGUGUGGAGUUGACCGGUACUAAUAGGCCGAGGGCUUGUCCUC
This 340-nucleotide non-coding RNA is filed under the name Streptomyces afghaniensis 772. RNAcentral's name for it is "Bacterial large subunit ribosomal RNA". It matches the Rfam family "Bacterial large subunit ribosomal RNA", at positions 2589 to 2925 of the family's 2925-position model. Lineage: Bacteria; Bacillati; Actinomycetota; Actinomycetes; Kitasatosporales; Streptomycetaceae. The record is from Rfam by way of RNAcentral.